RNAcentral lists this ribosomal RNA (468 nucleotides) under uncultured bacterium. Its description in RNAcentral is "partial 16S ribosomal RNA". It matches the Rfam family "Bacterial small subunit ribosomal RNA", at positions 28 to 507 of the family's 1533-position model. The record is from RNAcentral.
GACGAACGCUGGCGGCGUGCUUAACACAUGCAAGUCGAACGGAAAGGCCCUGCUUUUGUGGGGUGCUCGAGUGGCGAACGGGUGAGUAACACGUGAGUAACCUGCCCUUGACUUUGGGAUAACUUCAGGAAACUGGGGCUAAUACCGGAUAGGAGCUCCUGCUGCAUGGUGGGGGUUGGAAAGUUUCGGCGGUUGGGGAUGGACUGGCGGCUUAUCAGCUUGUUGGUGGGGUAGUGGCUUACCAAGGCUUUGACGGGUAGCCGGCCUGAGAGGGUGACCGGCCACAUUGGGACUGAGAUACGGCCCAGACUCCUACGGGAGGCAGCAGUGGGGAAUAUUGCACAAUGGGCGGAAGCCUGAUGCAGAGACGCCGCGUGCGGGAUGACGGCCUUCGGGUUGUAAACCGCUUUCGCCUGUGACGAAGCGUGAGUGACGGUAAUGGGUAAAGAAGCACCGGCUAACUACGUG